UCUUGAAAUUUAAAGAAUUUGGCGGUGUUUUAAUCCCCUUAGAGGAACCUGUUUUAUAAUCGAUACACCACGCAGUAUCUUACUUAUUUUCUAAGCUUGUAUACCAUCAUUAUUAGAUAACUUAUAGAUAAAUAGUUAUUACAAUUAUAAGCUAAAUAUAUUAGAUCAAGGUGCAGCCGAUAAAUAAGAAAAAAUGUGUUACAAUAAUGCUCAUUAUACGAAAUAUUAUAUAAAAUUAUAAUAUAAAGGCGGAUUUAAUUGUAGGUAUUAUUUAAUAUAUUAUAUCGACAUUGGCACUAAAACAUGUACAUAUCGCCCGUCGCUAACU
This 328-nucleotide ribosomal RNA is filed under the name Pomatocheles jeffreysii. RNAcentral's name for it is "partial 12S ribosomal RNA". It matches the Rfam family "Microsporidia small subunit ribosomal RNA", at positions 769 to 1207 of the family's 1311-position model. The record is from RNAcentral. Lineage: Eukaryota; Metazoa; Arthropoda; Malacostraca; Decapoda; Pomatochelidae.